This is a long non-coding RNA of Lathyrus oleraceus (garden pea), 1021 nucleotides long. RefSeq lists it as uncharacterized. The record is from RefSeq and is a predicted model, not a curated record. The transcript has 2 exons. NCBI's taxonomy places the organism in Eukaryota, Viridiplantae, Streptophyta, Magnoliopsida, Fabales, Fabaceae.
CCAACAAGGAUAAGCAUGUGAAUAAAAGGAAACUCCACACGCGUAUCUCUCUUGUCUCUAUUCGUUUCACAUUUCUACUUUUGUUUCACCUCUGUCGCACCAGAGGUUAUCCUUGGCGGAAGAGGUUCUCCAAAAUGUAAUUAAAUAGCAUCACCUCACUCAGUUUCGAGCCCUAAGUCCUAAUCGAGCCAUAGAAUUUUCUAACUCCUCACAAUUCGCUCGAAUCGAAGAAGCAAAUCGAGGAACCCUGACUCCUAAUCUCAAAUGCAUGUGUUGUUGAUGAGAAAUGUAGGUUGAAGUGUGGUUUGAGAGGAGUGAAAAUUGAAUUGUUCUGAGAUCGUGCCAAAGUGAGAGAGUGAUGAGUGAGGAAGAUCGUGCAAAGUGCAGCGAGUUUCUGUUUGUAAUCGUUUUCUGAGAUUGGUGAAAAAGGUCUUGGUGUUCAUUGACUGUCAUGGAGAUGUUGUUUUCAUGCUAUGGUGAAAAUGACUUAAUGCUGCUCUAACUCAGGAUUAGGAUGGCUUGCUUGUGGAAUGUUAUGAAUCAGAGCUGCUUGGCAUGUGCUUGAGCCAUUGGAAUGGAUUUGAGCUGCUAGGACAUGUCAUGUUAUGAGUCCCACAUCGGACAAUAUAUGGUCUGAACAUGUGUUUAUAAAUGGAGGCAGUCCUCACUCUACCAACUGGUUUUGUAGGGUUGAGUUAGACCCAAACCACACAUUCUUAACAUGGUAUCAAAGUCUGGUUUAAGAUUCGGUGGGCCACCUAUUAUGAUUUCCGCUAUCGGGCCAUCCACCAUUUAUUUCCACGCUCCAGAUGUCCAGUCCUGGGCGUGAGGGGUGUGUUAAGAGUCCCACAUCGGACAAUAUAGAGGCAGUCCUCACUCUACCAACUGGUUUUGUAGGGUUGAGUUAGGUCAAAUCACACAUUCUUAAGAUGUCAUGUUGUAAUCUUUAUAAUUUUGAAAUUGAGAUUGUAUGUUGGUUUAUAAUUGGAGAUUGAAUUAAAUGUAUGGUUAUUGUAAUGUA